GACGAACGCUGGCGGCGUGCCUAAUACAUGCAAGUAGAACGCUGAAGGAGGAGCUUGCUUCUCUGGAUGAGUUGCGAACGGGUGAGUAACGCGUAGGUAACCUGCCUGGUAGCGGGGGAUAACUAUUGGAAACGAUAGCUAAUACCGCAUAAUAGUAGAUGUCGCAUGACAUUUGCUUAAAAGGUGCAAUUGCAUCACUACCAGAUGGACCUGCGUUGUAUUAGCUAGUUGGUGAGGUAACGGCUCACCAAGGCAACGAUACAUAGCCGACCUGAGAGGGUGAUCGGCCACACUGGGACUGAGACACGGCCCAGACUCCUACGGGAGGCAGCAGUAGGGAAUCUUCGGCAAUGGACGGAAGUCUGACCGAGCAACGCCGCGUGAGUGAAGAAGGUUUUCGGAUCGUAAAGCUCUGUUGUAAGAGAAGAACGGGUGUGAGAGUGGAAAGUUCACACUGUGACGGUAGCUUACCAGAAAGGGACGGCUAACUACGUG
RNAcentral lists this ribosomal RNA (495 nucleotides) under uncultured bacterium. RNAcentral's name for it is "partial 16S ribosomal RNA". It matches the Rfam family "Bacterial small subunit ribosomal RNA", at positions 28 to 507 of the family's 1533-position model. The record is from RNAcentral.